UGGAGUACACACGUGUUGUUGCGAGUCCCCACAUGCCAAAGACAGUGGCAAGCUGAAACACACUGGACUGGCUUGUGCGAGCAAAAUCAGCCAGCCGACAGGAGCUGGGCUGCAGGUCAAAAAACUGUGGUCAGAAACAAGGGUCACACAAGGGUCACAGGGACAAGAGGACAGAACUGGGCGAAGGGUCAGGAGACUGACCCCACCUCUUUGCCCCACCCCUGGCUUGGAAAGAUGGGAUUGGAGGAGAACAGAAUGAAGACAAGCCCAUCAGAUCCAGAAGCCCUCUCGGGAACAUUGGAGAGAAACUGAAGAAUGCUGCAAAAGAUGAUGCAAUGACCUGUGUUAAGAAGGAAAAUGACACCAAAUGUUUUGUGUUGAGCUACAAAGUGUGUAUCUGGUAAAUGACCCCUUGACCUUAAGCUGGUCCAGGAAGGGUAUAUAAGAACAGCUCUGAACAGCAGAGAGAGAUUGAGAGAUUCGACAGAGCUGGGGCAGACGACAAGAAGAGACAGAGCAGAUUUGGAGGGGUCAUCCCCCGUCCUGCUGGAUGGGGGAUGACAGGCGGUUCUUCGAGAGAGGGCUUCAGGCUUCGUUCUUGGGGAGAUUCUGAGAAGACGAGAGCUGGUGUAAACUGACUCUCAUUUAAUCAUUUUGAACUAAUUCCUCCGUGGGGGAUAGUAGUUGUUUUUUACUUUACCCAUUUUUGUAUUUUGAUUUUGUAAUAAACCUUUUUUGAAAAAGAAACAUAAUCCUGAUUCUUUCAGGUUUUCUCUAAAGCUUCACGAGUGGGGGCUCUGAUCAUUAAUUGCACAGAGGACGCCCAAACCAGGAUCUAAUACCAUAAUACUCACCGACAUCCCCAUCGAACCCUGAUGGAUGCACCGUCUCAUAAGUUCUAACGGAACUGGGUUUUAAAGGAACCGGUAAAUGGGACGGGCUCGCGACAUGGCGCGCCAAACGUGGGGCUACGGAGUGAAGGUCUAAAUAUUAGAUACCGGGCUAUCCGACGUAGAACUGUCUUUUAGGCUGAUAAAAGCUUGCGCGCUAAGGACCUAUUAAGCUUAUAACCUUGGAGUGAAAACCGCACCAGUUUCUCGAAAAAGAAAGAAAUCUGGGAGAACGGACGAUCAACUUAAAAAGGUAUAAAGAAAAUACGGCAUUCCGACGCAAGAAAAGCCAAGGAUAAAAGCUAGGCAAAAAAUAAAAAUAAAUAAAGAAUAAGAAAAACUUUUAACCAGCCAUGGCAGAUAGAUCUUUCAAUAUCCUGUAACCGGAGCUUUCAGAAUGAGGCUGGAAAAGCUAGUAUGGAGCUGCGGCGGGGCACUGUCCGGGUGCUGAGGCACAAGUGAGAUGCGAUUAAACGUCAUGGCUGGAUCAAAAUCUAGUGAAGGACUGAUAUGUAAGAAUCUGUGUGACUUGGGCCUCGUUUCUGGUAACACGGGGAGGUAUUUGUCACGAACUGUAAAGUAAUCAUGUUUCCUAGCUUCAUAGAAUCUCAUGUCGGGCAUCGUCACGCGCAAUGGAGGCUAGAAGCCGGGAACAUGUUUAAUGUGUGAACCUCUGUGCUUAAGGGCUCCGUGAGGGGAGAAACCGUGCCGCCUGUAAAGGACGGACUUAUAACUGGGAGCAUUGGAACUCUGCUCCAAUUAAACUUUGUUUUUAGAGGAUCUGCUUGAAACAAGCACCUAGCUUCCGCUCUCGGCAGCCUGCAGAUAUGAGAAGCCACAGCUGAACAGAGAAAAAGCACUCAAGUCAGCUGAGCAACAACAGACAAGCAGGAUGUGGUGACAUCACCCCUCCCCCUACUAGUUCUGUUGAGAAGGGAGAGUCCUGAACUAACAGCUCCGUAUGAUUCUGACCUGACAGACAGCUACACUAAUAAUGCGUAAGCAUUUUUAACCUCGCUACAUAUGGUGUUGUAGGCAGGAUCCAUGUAGUGCUGUCAAGUAGGUCAGUGGAUGUGAAGUUUGUGGCACCCUGCGCGGGAGUACGAGGACGAGCUUGUGGAAAGAAGGGAGGAAGAUGUGACAGUGUGAGCGUUCUGUCACAAUGUCUUGAUUGAUGAUGCGCCCUGGCCAGCUGGCUAAGGGGAUGUCCCUUUGGCUGAGUGGUUAGAGCGCAUGACUCCCACCUUGGAGUUCUCGGGAUCUAAUCCCGCCCGUGCCAUCAUUUAUCCACCUUGCCACACUUUAUAGUUUUUAGCGUAAGCUUCCCACCUGCAGCUACAAGCAGCGUUAGCUUGUUGCUGUUCAGGUGUGUGAGGAGAAUAUUUGAAGCUCUGCAGUAAAAGAUGUCUUCAGUCUGGAGGGAGAGAGUCUCUGCUUGAAGGAGCAGACUGAGAUGUUCCAACCAGCAGCUCAGCUGACCAGAUGGCAGCUGAAACUGGUGGAGAAGCAGGAACCCAGAUCUGAACCCUCAUGAACAAACAUCUGGUUCUUCAGAGACUGAAGUGAGUUAUGAUGAUGAUGAUGAUGGUGUGUAUCUGGACUCUGAGCUAGUCAGACUCUGGGUCUGAGACUGGAGAUGAAGAUGAUCCAGAGGAGGAGGCAGCCCCACCCCAAAGAAGGCUGCUGCAGUCCCCUGGCUAGAUUUUUCUCGCAUGGGGGAUGUUGCGAGUCCCCACAUGCCAAAGACAGUGGCAAGCUGAAACACACUGGACUGGCUUGUGCGAGCAAAAUCAGCCAGCCGACAGGAGCUGGGCUGCAGGUCAAAAAACUGUGGUCAGAAACAAGGGUCACACAAGGGUCACAGGGACAAGAGGACAGAACUGGGCGAAGGGUCAGGAGACUGACCCCACCUCUUUGCCCCACCCCUGGCUUGGAAAGAUGGGAUUGGAGGAGAACAGAAUGAAGACAAGCCCAUCAGAUCCAGAAGCCCUCUCGGGAACAUUGGAGAGAAACUGAAGAAUGCUGCAAAAGAUGAUGCAAUGACCUGUGUUAAGAAGGAAAAUGACACCAAAUGUUUUGUGUUGAGCUACAAAGUGUGUAUCUGGUAAAUGACCCCUUGACCUUAAGCUGGUCCAGGAAGGGUAUAUAAGAACAGCUCUGAACAGCAGAGAGAGAUUGAGAGAUUCGACAGAGCUGGGGCAGACGACAAGAAGAGACAGAGCAGAUUUGGAGGGGUCAUCCCCCGUCCUGCUGGAUGGGGGAUGACAGGCGGUUCUUCGAGAGAGGGCUUCAGGCUUCGUUCUUGGGGAGAUUCUGAGAAGACGAGAGCUGGUGUAAACUGACUCUCAUUUAAUCAUUUUGAACUAAUUCCUCCGUGGGGGAUAGUAGUUGUUUUUUACUUUACCCAUUUUUGUAUUUUGAUUUUGUAAUAAACCUUUUUUGAAAAAGAAACAUAAUCCUGAUUCUUUCAGGUUUUCUCUAAAGCUUCACGAGUGGGGGCUCUGAUCAUUAAUUGCACAGAGGACGCCCAAACCAGGAUCUAAUACCAUAAUACUCACCGACAUCCCCAUCGAACCCUGAUGGAUGCACCGUCUCAUAAGUUCUAACGGAACUGGGUUUUAAAGGAACCGGUAAAUGGGACGGGCACGCGACAGUGUCAUUAAGAAGAUGUGCCCUUAGUG
This is a non-coding RNA of Nothobranchius furzeri (turquoise killifish), 3571 nucleotides long. The record is from RefSeq and is a predicted model, not a curated record. Lineage: Eukaryota; Metazoa; Chordata; Actinopteri; Cyprinodontiformes; Nothobranchiidae.